Molecule: ribosomal RNA, 60 nt
Filed under: uncultured organism
Description: partial 16S ribosomal RNA
Source: RNAcentral
UACCCUUGACAUACAGCGAAUCCCUCAGAGAUGAGGGAGUGCCUUCGGGAGCGCUGAUAC